AAAAAAUUGCUUUCCUUUCAAAAACAAGAACAUUUCUACAUGACCCCAAAUUUAUGUCAAGUGGAAUCAGGGGAUACAGGAAACUACAGUCUGAUCACUUCUGUACCAUCCACAUGAAUGCCCACUGUUGGAGUGGAUACGCAGGCAUCUCAAAAAGUACAGCACAAGUAAAAAUGAGCCAUAAUUUGUCUAAUUCACCAUCACCCAUGUGAUUGUGUUCUGCACUUCUUUAAAUUGUUCUUACCAUAUCAUUUAUAUGCAAAAUACCGUAGGCCAAAUUGUCAAAUUGUCUCUUUCUGUCUUGUAGUCUGAUAUAGACCACGUGUUCAGCUCAAUCCCCGACAGACCAGCAAACUCAUAGUGAAACCACAACUGUCACUUUCUCUAGCUACAGAUCCCAGAUACCCCUCUCAUAUAAUGUCAUAUGUCUGUUCUGCUCAACAAGUUAAAUGCUCAUCUCUCACAGGAUGCUGAAUAUAGAGCAUGUCUUGAGUUUAAUAGACAGACAAUAAGACCUUCUGUUAAACACCUACCUAUCUCUUACGCCUGUCUCUGUGAUUCUAUUUCUGGUAUUUCUAUCUCUCAUGUUUUUAUUCUGAUAAACUGAGGUGGCUUGGCUUUUUUUUCAUCUGUUUAGCUAAUUCCAUUAGGUGUCAGUUAAGCAAACUGUAAAACAACACCAACAUCCACCUUACACAUAAAAGCAACUGUUGAAGUUGAACCAAACCUCAGAUACAUUCAACUGACGCUAUGGUUACAUUUAACAUCUUUACCAGACUAUUUUAGAUAUGAAAACCCAAACUAAAUUCACCCUCUAAAAAUACCAACAUGAGAAACAUAUGAAUGCUUCUGUAAGCACCUCAAGAUGUCAACAGAAAUGUAGUGUUGUUGAGUUACAGAGCCAGACAUGGAGUCACAGCCAGAAUAUUAACUUUUGUGUGUUGCCAAUGCUGUACAUAAACCUUACUUCUUUUUAUCAGAGUUGUCGCAGUCAAAUAGGCCUCAAACAAAACAUAUGAAUUUACUCAGACAGUGAAGCUAAUGCUUUUUGGUUCAUUGUCAAAUAUUGGAGCAAAAUAUAACUACAGAACAUUGACUGAUUGACCUUCCCCCAACCUCAUGAUGUGAGACACUACUUGAUAGUUAAUGGACUUUGUUUGUGGUUUUCCUGCAAGGAAGUUUCUCAUCUAUCUCUCUAUUCAAACCGUUCUCUGAGUCACAGACACCAUAAUCCUAGUAGUUUGUGAGAGUCGAUUACUAUUGUCGGAACUAGAAGCACAAGUAUUUCGCUACACUCGCAUUAACAUCUGCUAACUAUGUGUAUGUGACAAAUAAAAUUUGAUUUGAGUCGGAGGAUCUGUGAAAAUGGUAUUGUUUAUCCCUGAUAUGGCUGGUCAUCUGUUUUUGGUCAUCCUCCUUGUCUGUGAGUUAUUCCUCCAUUCCAAGUUCUUGUAGCAUUCUACAGCUGUGGUAAGUUGAUGUCUCAUUUUAUCAGUCCAUUCUACUUUGAUUUGAAUGUUAUUUUUUUGCCUAGAGGAGUAUUGCCAUUACUACUAAAUAAGUUCAAUUGAAAUUAGAUGUCUGAUCUGAAGUAAUAAUGUCAUGAGCUUGUGUGAAUAGUUACUAACAUUAUGUUACUAUAGAACUGUGACUCAUGCCAAUCUAUACUGGUUUUGAAAAAAAUUCAAUUUUUUGUUAUUUCUAGAUACCUUUCAAUUCAUCAAAGCACAAGGUCAGUAUCAUCAUGGUCAAAUAACUUGACAUGGACAAACAACUCAAGCAUAGUUUGGUAACUCUUUUUCUAAUUUGGCACACAGAAACUAGAGGCCAUGAGUAAUUGGUCAAAAAGAUUGGCCUAUAGGUGGAGCUGUUAUAAGAAGACUCACUUAAACCCUCAUAUCCGCUGCCCCGUUUGACCUAGAGCAGGAGUGUCAAAUAUACAGCUGGUUUGAGUGA
Oncorhynchus tshawytscha (Chinook salmon) is the source of this 1956-nucleotide long non-coding RNA. The record is from Ensembl. Lineage: Eukaryota; Metazoa; Chordata; Actinopteri; Salmoniformes; Salmonidae.